Long non-coding RNA from Silurus meridionalis, 642 nucleotides. RefSeq lists it as uncharacterized. NCBI's taxonomy places the organism in Eukaryota, Metazoa, Chordata, Actinopteri, Siluriformes, Siluridae. The transcript is spliced from 3 exons. The record is from RefSeq and is a predicted model, not a curated record.
AAACCUAGAAAUGGUUUUUCUUUCCAUGACGUGGCUGGUUGACGUGGGCGUGGUCUGGGGAGAGAGAGAGAAUAAAUAGUGAGAGGAAGAGAAGCUCGGUCUCUCUUUUCCCCCUGGACUUCUUCAGUCUGCAGGAGGAGCAGGACUCGAGCUGUUCAUGCUCUGCUGCUCCCUGAGGAUCUUUCUGGCCAUGGUGCCACUGCUUGCAUCUUUCCUAUCUCUGGAGGAGGAGGAGAAGUCAAAACACACUUGCCAAGGGGUGUGGCACUGAGUCCUUCUGCCUCCGGGUCGGGUCAUGUGGGGGAGCCACACCCUCCCUGAGGGGACGGGAAGCCCCUCUGCAGUCUUUAUCCGGGGUUCAGUGGGCCUGCAGUGUACAGCGCCAGGUCGACUCUGAUCUGCCAACUAAGCGCAAGACACCAGAAGCAACCACUUAAACAAACAAACAAACAAACGAACCACAAAAAACUAAACCACGAGAAGCUUUCCCUGGCUUCUGGUGUCUGUUGCUUGGUUGGCAGGUUUCUGUGGUUGGCCUGCCGUUGAAUGAACAACAACCUUUCAUUCGCUCUUUAAAGCUGUACGCCUUUUUUCAUUCUAACUUCAAAAAAUCUAUAAAAACAGUAAAAACAUGGAACAUAA